This 148-nucleotide non-coding RNA is filed under the name Gorilla gorilla gorilla (western lowland gorilla). Lineage: Eukaryota; Metazoa; Chordata; Mammalia; Primates; Hominidae. The record is from Rfam by way of RNAcentral.
GCUGGGUGUGGUGGCCCACACCUGUAAUCUCAGCUACUUGGGAGGCUGAGGCAGGAGAAUUGCUUGAACCCGGGAGGUGGAGGUUUCAGUGAGUGGAGAUCGUGCCACUGCACUGCAGCCUGGGUGACAGAGCAAGACUCUGUCUCAA